This 497-nucleotide ribosomal RNA is filed under the name uncultured bacterium. Its description in RNAcentral is "partial 16S ribosomal RNA". It matches the Rfam family "Bacterial small subunit ribosomal RNA", at positions 28 to 507 of the family's 1533-position model. The record is from RNAcentral.
GAUGAACGCAGGCGGCGUGCCUAAUACAUGCAAGUCGAGCGAACGGACGAGAAGCUUGCUUCUCUGAUGUUAGCGGCGGACGGGUGAGUAACACGUGGAUAACCUACCUAUAAGACUGGGAUAACUUCGGGAAACCGGAGCUAAUACCGGAUAAUAUUUUGAACCGCAUGGUUCAAAAGUGAAAGACGGUCUUGCUGUCACUUAUAGAUGGAUCCGCGCUGCAUUAGCUAGUUGGUAAGGUAACGGCUUACCAAGGCAACGAUGCAUAGCCGACCUGAGAGGGUGAUCGGCCACACUGGAACUGAGACACGGUCCAGACUCCUACGGGAGGCAGCAGUAGGGAAUCUUCCGCAAUGGGCGAAAGCCUGACGGAGCAACGCCGCGUGAGUGAUGAAGGUCUUCGGAUCGUAAAACUCUGUUAUUAGGGAAGAACAUAUGUGUAAGUAACUGUGCACAUCUUGACGGUACCUAAUCAGAAAGCCACGGCUAACUACGUG